This 260-nucleotide ribosomal RNA is filed under the name Glaucoma chattoni. RNAcentral's name for it is "partial ribosomal RNA". It matches the Rfam family "Eukaryotic large subunit ribosomal RNA", at positions 3129 to 3401 of the family's 3401-position model. The record is from RNAcentral. Lineage: Eukaryota; Ciliophora; Oligohymenophorea; Hymenostomatida; Glaucomidae.
UCUAAGUCAGAAUCCAUGCUGGAAAGCGAUGUCUUGGUGAUGAUAAAACGAAAAAAACAUAAGAAAUUAAGUUCGAAAGGUAGAGCGGAGAAGAGCGGAACAGCUUGAUCUUAACUGCUAAUCGUAAUUCCGAAUUAUCAUCAGCAUAAAUCUUUUGUAGACGACUUAAAACGGAACGGGUAUUGUACACGUGAGAGUAGAAUCUUCUACGAUCCGCUGAGAUUCAGCCCGUCUCCUCAGAUUUAUCUCAUCUCCCUUUC